GCACGAUCAUGGCAAACCCGCUUGAAAAACGGGGACGCAAAGCUAUAGGGGCUAAAGGAUUUGCCAUUGAAGCAAAUGUCCAUGCCAGCCAGCUGCCGAA
This 100-nucleotide non-coding RNA is filed under the name Paenibacillus sp. RNAcentral describes it as "c-di-GMP sequence". It matches the Rfam family "c-di-GMP-I riboswitch aptamer". Rfam says of the family: GEMM was predicted in a large-scale screen for bacterial structured RNA regulatory elements. Genes associated with GEMM are involved in a diverse array of functions, including chemotaxis regulation, signal transduction, secretion and chitin. Lineage: Bacteria; Bacillati; Bacillota; Bacilli; Caryophanales; Paenibacillaceae. RNAcentral also lists the same sequence under 1 other name. The record is from RNAcentral.